AAGAAAUUUCCCAUCGAGCACCUCUGAGUUUCUUUCUCUUUGAGUUAAGACACACAACUGAUGAACUUGUUAGCUGCAUGGUUUGUUAAUAUGUUGCUUGACUGGUUGAGUUCAUCCAGCAUUUCUGCUUUUGCUUCAGGAUCCAGCAUCUGCAGAUUUAUCUGUUUAUUAGACUGUGUGAAGAAUCCAUCAGCACAGCAACGUCCAUGUUCAGUACUAUGGUGAACUACAUAUACCUGUCUGGACACGGCCACCUGCUGACUGCUCCUGUGGCUCCUCCCACAGACCCCUGUAUAAAGGCGAUUGGAGGCACUGCUCCUCCCUCAGUCUCCAUGAUGUCGUAUGGUGGGCUCUUGCUGCUGACGGUGCUUUCU
This is a long non-coding RNA of Hypanus sabinus (Atlantic stingray), 374 nucleotides long. RefSeq lists it as uncharacterized. The transcript has 3 exons. Lineage: Eukaryota; Metazoa; Chordata; Chondrichthyes; Myliobatiformes; Dasyatidae. The record is from RefSeq and is a predicted model, not a curated record.